GCCGGGUAUGGUAGCUCAUGCCUGUAAUCCCAGCAUCUUAGGAGGCUGAGGCUGGCGGAUCACUAGAGGCCAGGAGUUUGAGACCAGCCUGGCCAACAUGGUGAAACCCUGUCUCUG
This is an unclassified non-coding RNA of Papio anubis (olive baboon), 117 nucleotides long. It matches the Rfam family "Metazoan signal recognition particle RNA". Rfam says of the family: The signal recognition particle (SRP) is a universally conserved ribonucleoprotein. It is involved in the co-translational targeting of proteins to membranes. The record is from Ensembl. Lineage: Eukaryota; Metazoa; Chordata; Mammalia; Primates; Cercopithecidae.